GUAAUAGCUCACUGGUCGAGUCGGCCUGCGCGGAAGAUGUAACGGGGCUAAACCAUGCACCGAAGCUGCGGCAGCGACGCUUAGGCGUUGUUGGGUAGGGGAGCGUUCUGUAAGCCGUUGAAGGUGUCCUGUGAGGGGUGCUGGAGGUAUCAGAAGUGCGAAUGCUGACAUAAGUAACGAUAAAGCGGGUGAAAAGCCCGCUCGCCGGAAGACCAAGGGUUCCUGUCCAACGUUAAUCGGGGCAGGGUGAGUCGACCCCUAAGGCGAGGCCGAAAGGCGUAGUCGAUGGGAAACAGGUUAAUAUUCCUGUACUUGGUGUUACUGCGAAGGGGGGACGGAGAAGGCUAUGUCAGCCGGGCGACGGUUGUCCCGGUUUAAGCAUGUAGGCGGAGGUUCCAGGUAAAUCCGGUACCUUGUUAACGCUGAGGUGUGAUGACGAGGCACUACGGUGCUGAAGUGAUAAAUGCCCUGCUUCCAGGAAAAGCCUCUAAGCAUCAGGUAACACGAAAUCGUACCCCAAACCGACACAGGUGGUCAGGUAGAGAAUACCAAGGCGCUUGAGAGAACUCGGGUGAAGGAACUAGGCAAAAUGGUGCCGUAACUUCGGGAGAAGGCACGCUGAUAUGUAGGUGAAGUCCCUGCGGGCGGAGCUGAAAUCAGUCGAAGAUACCAGCUGGCUGCAACUGUUUAUUAAAAACACAGCACUGUGCAAACACGAAAGUGGACGUAUACGGUGUGACGCCUGCCCGGUGCCGGAAGGUUAAUUGAUGGG
RNAcentral lists this ribosomal RNA (772 nucleotides) under Enterobacter hormaechei. RNAcentral describes it as "partial 23S ribosomal RNA". It matches the Rfam family "Bacterial large subunit ribosomal RNA", at positions 1134 to 1888 of the family's 2925-position model. The record is from RNAcentral. Lineage: Bacteria; Pseudomonadati; Pseudomonadota; Gammaproteobacteria; Enterobacterales; Enterobacteriaceae.